AACAAGAUCGGGUGAAAAGAAAAAGCCCCUCAUUGGCACCUCCUCGCUCCUAUGCAACCCCGCGAAAAGCAGGGGAAGGCCUUCACUCCGAGAAGAGGAGGAAAAUCAAAAAUGAAGGAUGACGAACUACGACGGGAACGGAUGAGGGAUGAACCACACCAAAAGACCUAAAGGACUUCGUCCCAACUGAAACGGAGAGUUCCUACCGAACACCUCCGGCCGCUAAAAAGACUUUCGACACCGG
RNAcentral lists this long non-coding RNA (244 nucleotides) under Elaeis guineensis (African oil palm). RNAcentral describes it as "long non-coding RNA (EGUI_LNC076919)". Lineage: Eukaryota; Viridiplantae; Streptophyta; Magnoliopsida; Arecales; Arecaceae. The record is from RNAcentral.